UAUCCUUGCAGUGCAGGCUACCGUAGGCAUCCCAUUUCUCCUCUACGGUUUAAGGUUCAACUCAUGGUUAGAGGUGGUUUAGGAUUCUGAUUCUGGCUUUUGAAGUUUCCGGUGGAAUAGAGGAGGAUCCAACGGAGGAAUACGAACGCCGCCGCCGACCACGCCCAUCGGUAUGCAGUUUUCGUUGAAUCAAGGAUUUGAUUUGCGAAUGCUAUCGAGAGUUACCAAUCCACAGGUAGAGUAUAUUCGCUUGGGUUGACUCACUGCUUACUGAUUUUCAGUUUCACGGUGUAGAGUAUAUUCGUAUGCACAUGAAUUUGAUUUGGUGCUUCACUUUGAUUUUCUCCUUCGUUACAACGGGAAUGUUUCCAAGAAAUGUUAGGGUUUAUAAGAAUUUAGGAAUUUCGGUUUUCGGAGGAAGAAAAUUUUAUUGUCUCAAAAACCCUCUCUCACUCGUUUCUUUAAGCCAUUUUUGGUGUUCUGCUCCCUUCGAUUUUAGGUUCUUGAAAGAACAAUUUAUCUUUAAAUUCUUGAUGGUUUGGUUCGAUUUUGGCUGUGGCUAUUGCUCAGGUGAUUCUGGUUUUGGCUCCAGUCAAGCUCGGGUUUAAUUCAUGUUUUGUUUUCAAGGUCUAGCUCUUGUCCGGAUGGGGUUCUAGUUGGGGAUCGGCUAUGACUUUUACUCUGGCUCAGGGCUGAUGAUGCUCGCCAAUCUUUGAGCCAUGCUGGUGCCUAUCUAUUUUUUACAACUUACAGCGUAUUGUGCUACAAUCAUUCUUUCAUUAAUCCAUUUGGGACUAAUCUUCUUUUUUCCGCUUUACCGGUAUUAGUCUGUGAUGUUGACUUACUAAGAAUUGUGUGAGUGUGGAUGUAUUUAGAUGUCAUCAUAUAUUUGUUGUACUCUCUAAGAAUUGUGUGAGUGUGGAUGUAUUUAGAUGUCAUCAUAUAUUUGUUGUACUCUUUAUGUGGGACCCACAUGGGGUUUAUUGUGUUAAUAACUUAUUAACACUUCUCCUUUCUUUUUCUAUAUUUCCUGAGGUGAUGUAACAUCCUUUGAGGAGAUGCUGCCAACAAAAGAUCUAGAUGUCCUUCCUUAAGGAUUUGCUUUUCUUGAUGUGGGGAGGAAGCCAAGUGCCACUUAAUAAGAUGAUAAGAUGAGAAGAAAGGAAGAAAUAUUUACCUGACAUGGAGCUUCAGGGUGUUCAGGUAUUUAUUUUUCUCUGACAUUUUCUCAACUUUGUUUGCUUGAUUCUUUCUUGCCUGUUCAAGGUAGGAAGAGAUCUAGAUUUGGCUAUAGUGCUACAACUGACUCUCUUCGGUUUUGGGGAAGGAUCAGAACUAUCUUCUAUGAGUCUUACCAUCCACCACUGCCUUCUUCCUUCUCUUAUAAGGUAAUUUCCAGUUAAAUUUGUUCUUAUAUAUGUAUUUUUGUUGUAUUGUUCUGUGUAAUAUGAGCACCAUGUGGCUUGUUAUGCUGUUUUAUAUUUAUUUUAGGUUUGUGGUUUUUGUUUUGAAGAUGAUUUUCUUAUAACUGUUCGGUCCUACAAGCGUAGGUAAGUGUUUUUAGGUACAUGUCACUUUCUAGCGGUGAUAAAUGUAUGUCUAUUGUUGUUGUUGCUGCUGGCAUUCUUUUAGUGGGACUGUUUGUUAAUUUUUUGCUGACUAUACAGAUAGAUGUCUAGAAGCCCUGUUAUAUCUAUCCGGACUGUACGUUUAUUUUUGUAUGGGGUAGGUGUGCUGUGCCUAUUUUUGUUUGUUUUUGAUAUAUAGAUGAUAACCAUUUUUAUGUUCUUGUUCAGCAUAAUAAACAGAUUCAUCUAGAUGUUGUUCUUGUUGUAAAUGAAAAAUUACAUGAUACGGCAAAUGGUUUUACUAGGCUUGGGAUUCUUGGUUAUAAGAACUAGGGGUUCCUUAUCCCCCAAUAAUUCUUGUUCUGGAAGCAAUAUGACAGAAUUAUGUGAGGUUGAACUUUAGGAAUAUUAUAGGUUCUCUUAUUUAUUCCCAUGCAUGUUUGGUUGUCUUCUCAAAUUGUUUUCUUACGAUUAUUAAUGGCUGUGCAAUGAGGAAUUAAGGAGGAUGCAGUUGACUGCAUGAGACAGUUGGUUCUCAUGGAAAUUAUAGUGCACUUUUCAUGGUAAUGAGCAUGGAUUGGGUCGAGAAUCUUGGCAUUCUUUUAUGAAAUUGCUUUAUUUCCUUGAUUAUUUAUUUAUUUGGUUUAUGAUCAUGAACUUUUGUUAUGUGAUUUUCUUUUUUAGUUUUGUGAAUGUUAUACAUACCAUAGAUUAAUAUAUAUGUUCUAUAAUUGUCAGUGAAAACUUCAACUAUGACUUGAUUUUCAUUGUAGGCGAUAUGUGUAUGUAUAUCUAUUCAUAUUUCUGUAUGAUUAGUUAUUUUUAUUAUGUGAUUCCUUGUUAUUUAUUGAUUUAUUGUGUGUAUAUGUGCAUGUGGUAGGUUUGCGUGCGUACAAAAUAAAAUUGAUAAAGUGUGUUCAUUCAGUAGGUUUAUUAUGUAUGCUUGCACAAUAGAAUUGAUUUUAUUGUACAUAUGUUUGUAUUGAUUUUGUGUUGUUUUGUGUGUUGUGUUUAACUUUAUUAUUAAUGUGCUUGUAUAUUUUUGUAUGUGGGUGGUUUGUGUUUGUAUGUUUGUAUUAUUUGUGUAUUAUUUAUUUAGUAUGUUUGUAUUAUUUGUGUAUUAUUUUGUGAUGUUUGACUUUUUAUUAUUAAUAUGCAUGUAGACAUGCAUUUGGUAGGUUUGUGUGUGUAUAUUUGUAUACAUACAAGACAUACACAAUUUUAAAAUUGUGUAUAUUUGCACAAGAGAAUUGAUUUUAUUGUGUGCAUGUUUCUAAUGAUUUUGUAUUAUUUUGUGUAUAUGUUUAGCUAACUCUAUUAUUAAUGUCUAUAUGUGCAUAAGGUAGACAUAUAACACAUUGAUUAUAUUGUGUGCAUAUUUGUAAUGUUUUUAU
Molecule: long non-coding RNA, 2962 nt
Organism: Andrographis paniculata
Lineage: Eukaryota; Viridiplantae; Streptophyta; Magnoliopsida; Lamiales; Acanthaceae
Exons: 3
Source: RefSeq, a predicted model, not a curated record